AUGAAAUGGAGCUGGAUGAUCCUCUUGCUGGUGGCAGUAUCUACAGGUGUCCACUCCCAGGUCCAGCUGCAGCAGCUUGGGGCUGAGCUGGUGAGACCUGGGGCCUCAGUGAAACUGUCCAGCAAGGCUUCUGGCUUCACCUUCCCUGACUACUAUAUGCACUUGGUCAAGCAGAGGCCUGGACAGGGUCUGGAGUGGACUGGAUGGAUUUAUACUUCAAGUGGUAAUACUGGCUAUGCACAGAAGUUCCAGGACAAGGCCAAGCUGACUGUAGAUAAGACCUCGAGCACAGCUUACAUGAAUCUGAGCAGCCUCACAUUUGAGGACUUUGAAGUCUAUUACUGUGCAAGACACAGUAUAGCAAUUCACAUCCUGAAUGUGUCAGAAACCCUGGAGAGACAGGAACCUGCCUUAGGACUGAAAUAUCAGAUAUUUUAG
Non-coding RNA from Peromyscus maniculatus bairdii (prairie deer mouse), 438 nucleotides. NCBI's taxonomy places the organism in Eukaryota, Metazoa, Chordata, Mammalia, Rodentia, Cricetidae. The record is from the annotation of a RefSeq genome assembly.